Molecule: ribosomal RNA, 506 nt
Filed under: uncultured bacterium
Lineage: Bacteria
Description: partial 16S ribosomal RNA
Rfam family: Bacterial small subunit ribosomal RNA
Source: RNAcentral
AGUGAACGCUGGCGGUAGGCCUAACACAUGCAAGUCGAACGGCAGCACAGGAGAGCUUGCUCUCUGGGUGGCGAGUGGCGGACGGGUGAGGAAUACAUCGGAAUCUACUCUGUCGUGGGGGAUAACGUAGGGAAGCUUACGCUAAUACCGCAUACGACCUACGGGUGAGAGCAGGGGACCUUCGGGCCUUGCGCGAUUGAAUGAGCCGAUGUCGGAUUAGCUAGUUGGCGGGGUAAAGGCCCACCAAGGCGACGAUCCGUAGCUGGUCUGAGAGGAUGAUCAGCCACACUGGAACUGAGACACGGUCCAGACUCCUACGGGAGGCAGCAGUGGGGAAUAUUGGACAAUGGGCGUAAGCCUGAUCCAGCCAUACCGCGUGGGUGAAGAAGGCCUUCGGGUUGUAAAGCCCUUUUGUUGGGAAAGAAAUCCAGCUGGCUAAUACCCGGUUAGGAUGACGGUACCCAAAGAAUAAGCACCGGCUAACUUCGUGCCAGCCGCCGCGGUAA